UCGCCAAUGUUCGGAAAACCGUUUCUCUCCAAAAAACGAUAAACAGUCCAUCCGCGACUAUAAAAAAGCAUACAAAACUCCUUAAGAUAUAAAACCUUCGCGAAGGUCCAAACAACGGUAACACCCACCACCUAAGUUUGUUGCUGAUCACAACAAACUCACAACAGUCCUAAACAAACUUAAGUUAUCUCGCAUAGAUAGCUCUCAUACACCCGACACAAGGGUAAUAGCGCUAUAAAGAAAUCCAAAUUUUGGUCAGCACCUUCGGGGUACUCGAUUCCAACCAGACGAGUCGUAUAAGCCGAGAACCUAUCACGGGCUAGUCAUCGCAUAGCC
This 336-nucleotide long non-coding RNA is filed under the name Brassica napus (rape). RNAcentral's name for it is "long non-coding RNA (BNAP_LNC026682)". Lineage: Eukaryota; Viridiplantae; Streptophyta; Magnoliopsida; Brassicales; Brassicaceae. The record is from RNAcentral.